Molecule: unclassified non-coding RNA, 293 nt
Organism: Callithrix jacchus (white-tufted-ear marmoset)
Lineage: Eukaryota; Metazoa; Chordata; Mammalia; Primates; Cebidae
Rfam family: Metazoan signal recognition particle RNA
About the family: The signal recognition particle (SRP) is a universally conserved ribonucleoprotein. It is involved in the co-translational targeting of proteins to membranes.
Source: Ensembl
GCAGUGGCACAUGCCUGUAGUCCCAGCUACUGAGGAGGCUGAGGCUGGAGGAUCACUUGAGUCCAGGAGUUCUAGGCUGUAGUGUGCUAUGCCGAUUGGGUGUCCAAACUAAGUUCAGCAUCAGUGUGGUGACAUCCUGAGAGCAGGGGACCACCAGAUUGCCUACGGAGGAGUGAACUAGCCCAGGUUGGAAACAGAGCAGGUCAAAACUCCUGUGCUGAUCAGUAGUGGGAUUGCACCUGUAAAUAGCCACUGCACUCCAGCCUAAGCAACAUAGCGAGACCCCAUCUCUU